This 466-nucleotide ribosomal RNA is filed under the name uncultured Alphaproteobacteria bacterium. RNAcentral's name for it is "bacterial SSU rRNA". It matches the Rfam family "Bacterial small subunit ribosomal RNA", at positions 9 to 521 of the family's 1533-position model. The record is from RNAcentral. Lineage: Bacteria; Pseudomonadati; Pseudomonadota; Alphaproteobacteria.
GAGUUUGAUCAUGGCUCAGAGCGAACGCUGGCGGCAGGCCUAACACAUGCAAGUCGAACGAGCCUUCGGGCUAGUGGCGGACGGGUGAGUAACACGUGGGAACGUACCUUUAGGUUCGGAAUAACUCAGGGAAACUUGAGCUAAUACCGAAUGUGCCCUUCGGGGAAAGGAUUUAUCGCCUUUAGAGCGGCCCGCGUUAGAUUAGCUAGUUGGUGGGGUAAAGGGCCCACCAAGGCUACGAUCUAUAGCUGGUCUGAGAGGAUGAUCAGCCACAUUGGGACUGAGACACGGCCCAAACUCCUACGGGAGGCAGCAGUGGGGAAGUCUUGCGCAAUGGUCGAAAGACUGACGCAGCCAUGCCGCGUGAAUGAUGAAGGUCUUAGGAUUGUAAAAUUCUUUCAGCAGGGACGAUAAUGACGGUACCUGCAGAAGAAGCCCCGGCUAACUUCGUGCCAGCCGCCGCCGU